This 382-nucleotide unclassified non-coding RNA is filed under the name uncultured fungus. RNAcentral describes it as "sequence contains ITS1". The stretch from base 1 to 105 matches the Rfam family "5.8S ribosomal RNA", at positions 50 to 154 of the family's 154-position model. Lineage: Eukaryota; Fungi. The record is from RNAcentral.
GAAUUGCGAAAAGUAAUGUGAAUUGCAGAAUUUCGUGAAUCAUCGAAUCUUUGAACGCAUAUUGCACUUUCUGGUCCUCCAGAAAGUAUGCCUGUUUGAGUAUCAUUCAACUCCUCAUUCCCUCCACGGGCGUUUACUCGCUCCCUGGUGGGCAAUGGAUGUGAGCCUCUGGCGCCUCAUGGUGCUGGUUGCUUGAAAUGCAGCGUGGCUGUGCUUGACCCACAUCCCACUGGCGUAUUAGUUCUCGUCAGAGAUUCCUUACGCACCAACAGUGGGGUUUUCGCGGUCUGCAGCUGCGACUCUUUGACUGCAGUGCGCUUACAGUUGUAAGCGUGCUCAAACUCUUGAUCUCAAAUCAGGCAAGACUACCCGCUGAAUUUAA